AACGAACGCUGGCGGCAGGCCUAACACAUGCAAGUCGAACGCCGUAGCGAUACGGAGUGGCAGACGGGUGAGUAACGCGUGGGAACAUACCCCUCGGUUCGGAAUAACUCAGGGAAACUUGAGCUAAUACCGGAUAAGUCCGAGGUUUUUAAUCGACCUUGGAGAAAGAUUUAUCGCCGGAGGAUUGGCCCGCGUCUGAUUAGCUUGUUGGUGAGGUAAUGGCUCACCAAGGCGACGAUCAGAGCUGGUCUGAGAGGAUGAUCAGCCACAUUGGGACUGAGACACGGCCCAAACUCCUACGGGAGGCAGCAGUGGGGAAUAUUGGACAAUGGGCGAAAGCCUGAUCCAGCCAUGCCGCGUGAGUGAAGAAGGCC
RNAcentral lists this ribosomal RNA (374 nucleotides) under uncultured bacterium. RNAcentral's name for it is "bacterial SSU rRNA". It matches the Rfam family "Bacterial small subunit ribosomal RNA", at positions 29 to 416 of the family's 1533-position model. The record is from RNAcentral.